Equus asinus (donkey) is the source of this 103-nucleotide small nuclear RNA. The record is from Ensembl. Lineage: Eukaryota; Metazoa; Chordata; Mammalia; Perissodactyla; Equidae.
CUGCUUCCACAGCACAUAUACUAUAAUUGGAAUGAUACAGAGAAGAUUAGCAUGGCUCCUGUGCAAAAAUGACGUGCAAAUUAAUGAAGCAUGCCAUAUUUUU